GAUUAAGUUAUUAAGGGCGCACGGUGGAUGCCUUGGCACUAGAAGCCGAUGAAGGACGUUACUAACGACGAUAUGCUUUGGGGAGCUGUAAGUAAGCUUUGAUCCAGAGAUUUCCGAAUGGGGAAACCCAGCAUGAGUUAUGUCAUGUUAUCGAUAUGUGAAUACAUAGCAUAUCAGAAGGCACACCCGGAGAACUGAAACAUCUUAGUACCCGGAGGAAGAGAAAGAAAAUUCGAUUCCCUUAGUAGCGGCGAGCGAAACGGGAAGAGCCCAAACCAACAAGCUUGCUUGUUGGGGUUGUAGGACACUCUAUACGGAGUUACAAAGGACGACAUUAGACGAAUCAUCUGGAAAGAUGAAUCAAAGAAGGUAAUAAUCCUGUAGUCGAAAAUGUUGUCUCUCUUGAGUGGAUCCUGAGUACGACGGAGCACGUGAAAUUCCGUCGGAAUCUGGGAGGACCAUCUCCUAAGGCUAAAUACUCUCUAGUGACCGAUAGUGAACCAGUACCGUGAGGGAAAGGUGAAAAGCACCCCGGAAGGGGAGUGAAAUAGAACCUGAAACCGUGUGCUUACAAGUAGUCAGAGCCCGUUAAUGGGUGAUGGCGUGCCUUUUGUAGAAUGAACCGGCGAGUUACGAUUUGAUGCAAGGUUAAGCAGUAAAUGUGGAGCCGUAGCGAAAGCGAGUCUGAAUAGGGCGUUUAGUAUUU
Molecule: ribosomal RNA, 706 nt
Filed under: Staphylococcus aureus
Lineage: Bacteria; Bacillati; Bacillota; Bacilli; Caryophanales; Staphylococcaceae
Description: partial 23S ribosomal RNA
Rfam family: Bacterial large subunit ribosomal RNA
Source: RNAcentral